This 2655-nucleotide long non-coding RNA is filed under the name Nicotiana benthamiana. Its description in RNAcentral is "long non-coding RNA (NBEN_LNC026006)". The record is from RNAcentral. Lineage: Eukaryota; Viridiplantae; Streptophyta; Magnoliopsida; Solanales; Solanaceae.
GCCUCUUUUUCAUAGUAGUGUCACACCUCCUUUUUACACACCUACCCCGAACGAUAAUGUAUAAGGGAGUUUUUCAUUUAAAGUGACAUUAUUUGGAUCGGGAUUAUUUAUUUAUUUAGAGUCACCACUUGGGAAAGGUUUGGCUUUUGGUGUCCCAAGUCACCGGUUUAGCUUGAAUCCCAAUUCGAGAAAAAUAUUCGACUUCCCAAUUGGAGUCUGUGAACCAGAAAUUCUGAAUAAGGAAUUAUGUUGACCCGAAGGAAGGUGUUAGGCACCCUCGGAUCCCGUGGUUCUAGCACGGUCGCUUAAAUUGAUAUGAAUGGCUAAAAUCUAAUUUUUGAUACAUGAAGAUCCUGUGUACCAAUUAUAUCUUUAACCGCUUUUAUUUAAUAUGUAUUUAUUUAAGAGAAAGUGAACAUCGUUUAAAGUGUGUUUUCGUAUUGCACCGCAUCAAAUUAACAUGCAAUCCUAGGCACACUCUAUUCAACGUUUUAGAAUUUGGUUUUGGGUCGCAGAAAAUAUUCGACUUCCCAAUUGGAGUCUGCGAACCAGAAAUUUCGAAUAAGGAAUUCUGUUGACUCGACGGAAGGUCUUAGGCACCCUCGGAUCCCGUAGUUCUAGCACAGUCGCUUAAAUUGCUAUGAAUGGCUAAAAUCUGAUUUUAUUACAUGAAGAGUCUAUGUGCCAAUUUUUACUUUUUACCACUUUUAUUUAACAUAAUAUUUAUUUGAGAAAGUUAACGUCGUUUAAAGUGUAUUUUCGGAUUGUGCCGCAUCAAAUGAACCCGGAAUCCUAGGCACACUCUAUUCAACGUUUUAGGAUUUGGAUUUGGGCCGCAUAAAAUGCUCACCCGUAUUUAGGAAGGUAAUAUUAUUAAAAUAACGCAACUAAAGCAACUACGCGUUUUCAACUGUGCGAGGGCCAUGGAAAAUUUGUUAAAUGGCACGCCUCGAUUUCUAAGGAUUUAAAGAAAUAAUAAAUGAGGCCCACACAUUUGUAAUUUUAUUUGGCAUGGCACGCCUCAAAUUAUUUAAAGCAGAGAUUUGUAUCCAACUAACAUUUUCCAAGUAAAUGAUACUCCCUGAAGAUAUCACAAUAGUAUUUUCUUUUCUGUGCUAAAGGAAAUAACAUCUAAAAUCAUAACUUCUGGAACUAAGAUCUUUUUUUUAAAAAAAACUGCAAAAAGAAACUAUGAAUAACAAUUCUCAUAUGAAAAGUAUAUUUAGACAAUGACAGAAGCAAGAUUCCAAGCUACCAACCAAUUGGCAAUCCAUAUUCUAAUACCAAUCACAAAGGAAAUAAUUGCAAACAGAUUUAUAUAUCUCCUCAUACCAAAUUAUGAAAUGGAAGAAAACUUGCAUUCAACUGUAUGAAUCGCUAUAACACAUCGGCUAUUGGAACCUUCAUAAUAUUCAAUAAUCGAAUGGAAAAUAUAGAACUUAGGAUGAAGAGCUACUGGACGGUUACUAUUACAAGUUCUCAUUCUCCACUGAACAUCCACAAAGACCAAAUGUUACAUAAAAAAACUAUGUACAUAGAACAAAUACCAAUGACCAACCUCACCUAUUGACACACAUAUAUUGAACAGUAAUCUAAUUCAAAUCCACUUAAACACAAGAAAUAGAAGCUUCACCGUCACUGUAUCAGUGAAGAAGCUAAAACGAAAUGACGUGACAUGGCUAAAAAGUAGGAAGGAAAAGAUAGAAGCUAUUUGCCAUUAAUCAGUUCAUAUUUUAAGAGGAAUAACCUCUCUGUUCCAAUUUAAGUGGUUACUACUGCAUCUCUUAUUCAAUGUUUAACACAUUUCUCACAUUUUUAUUUGAUUUUUUCCUUAAAACAGCAUAAACACAACGGAAACCAACUAAAUAAGAUCAAACGACUAACAACAACAUCCCUAAUUGAAAGUGGGAGUCGAUUAAUUGCUAUAGACAUUGUGUUUCAAAUUAACUCAUAAUUUUGUUCAAAUAGAAGAAAAAUAUACGUUCACUACACAUCAAAGUAGCAGUAAUCGGAAUUCAAGCAGAUCCGCAAAAUUAAACAGAAGUUCAACAAUUUUUAAUCAUUCGAUGAAGGUAUAAUACAGAGGAAUCGAGAACUCACCUAAUGGAACAUCAACAAAACGACUGAAACAGGCCAAAUGAAGAACCGAAAACAGUUGCGAUAGUGAGAGCUUGGUCAAUUCCUCAGCAACAGCAGAAACAACGUGAUUUCCAAUCUCAGCUUGAACACCCAGAGAUAUCAACUUCAAUUUCUGAACUGUUUUUAGUACAAAAUCAAUUCCGGAUUCUAUUGUUUUCCUUCUUCUUUCAGUUUUUUUUUUUCAGAUUUGGAUCUCCAUUUUUCUGUUAAUUUCUAUUGUAGAAGACCAGCAUGCAAAAGGAAUGAAAACAAAGGUGGAUUAGAAUGCAAAGAUAAGAAAGGGGUCUCAGAUUUGUUUUUUUGAAGAGAAAGGGAUUUGUUCGUGAUUUUGUGAGGGAAGGGGUCUCUCCUUUGGCGUCUGUGUUCUCCUCUUAGGAAAUGGGGGUAGUUUGGGGAUUUUCGCGUGUGUCCCUGAAGAGAGAAGAAGAAGGAAAGGGUAAAUAGCUAGAAUCCAACAGAAGGAAGCACGCUAUUUGCGUGUCUCUAAGGGGAAGGAGUUCGGACCGGGUCAGGGAA